GCCCGGGAGAGACACUGGUCACAAAGGCGGGUUUCCCAGGGCAAGGCUGAUCCAUUGCACUCCGGACGUGCUGACCCCUGUGAUUUCCCCAAAUGUGGGAGACUCCACUGGGC
This is a small nuclear RNA of 113 nucleotides. Its record names the gene U1. It matches the Rfam family "U1 spliceosomal RNA". From Rfam's summary of the family: U1 is a small nuclear RNA (snRNA) component of the spliceosome (involved in pre-mRNA splicing). Its 5' end forms complementary base pairs with the 5' splice junction, thus defining the 5' donor site of an intron. There are significant differences in sequence and secondary structure between metazoan and yeast U1 snRNAs, the latter being much longer (568 nucleotides as compared to 164 nucleotides in human). The record is from Ensembl.